AACGAACGCUGGCGGCAGGCCUAACACAUGCAAGUCGAGCGCGCCCUUCGGGGUGAGCGGCGGACGGGUGAGUAACGCGUGGGAACGUGCCCUUUUCUACGGAAUAGCCUCGGGAAACUGAGAGUAAUACCGUAUACGCCCUUUAGGGGAAAGAUUUAUCGGAAAAGGAUCGGCCCGCGUUGGAUUAGGUAGUUGGUGGGGUAAUGGCCUACCAAGCCGACGAUCCAUAGCUGGUUUGAGAGGAUGAUCAGCCACACUGGGACUGAGACACGGCCCAGACUCCUACGGGAGGCAGCAGUGGGGAAUCCUAGACAAUGGGGGCAACCCUGAUCGAGCCAUGCCGCGUGAGUGAUGAAGGCCUUAGGGUUGUAAAGCUCUUUCAGCUGGGAAGAUAAUGACGGUACCAGCAGAAGAAGCCCCGGCUAACUCCGUG
This 433-nucleotide ribosomal RNA is filed under the name uncultured bacterium. RNAcentral's name for it is "partial 16S ribosomal RNA". It matches the Rfam family "Bacterial small subunit ribosomal RNA", at positions 29 to 507 of the family's 1533-position model. The record is from RNAcentral.